AACCAGCACCUCAAGUGGUCAGGAUGAUUAUUGGGCCUAAAGCAUCCGUAGCUCGUUUUGUAAGUUUUCGGUUAAAUCCAUACGCUCAACGUAUGGGCUGCCGGGAAUACUGCAUAACUAGGAAGUGGGAGAGGUAGACGGUACUCGAUAGGAAGGGGUAAAAUCCUUUGAUCUAUUGAUGACCACCUGUGGCGAAGGCGGUCUACCAGAACAUGUUCGACGGUGAGGGAUGAAAGCUGGGGGAGCAAACCGG
RNAcentral lists this ribosomal RNA (253 nucleotides) under uncultured archaeon. RNAcentral describes it as "partial 16S ribosomal RNA". It matches the Rfam family "Archaeal small subunit ribosomal RNA", at positions 474 to 727 of the family's 1478-position model. The record is from RNAcentral.